RNAcentral lists this ribosomal RNA (1343 nucleotides) under uncultured bacterium. Its description in RNAcentral is "16S ribosomal RNA". It matches the Rfam family "Bacterial small subunit ribosomal RNA", at positions 28 to 1378 of the family's 1533-position model. The record is from RNAcentral.
GACGAACGCUGGCGGCGUGCUUAACACAUGCAAGUCGAACGGAAAGGCCCUGCUUUUGUGGGGUGCUCGAGUGGCGAACGGGUGAGUAACACGUGAGUAACCUGCCCUUGACUUUGGGAUAACUUCAGGAAACUGGGGCUAAUACCGGAUAGGAGCUCCUGCUGCAUGGUGGGGGUUGGAAAGUUUCGGCGGUUGGGGAUGGACUCGCGGCUUAUCAGCUUGUUGGUGGGGUAGUGGCUUACCAAGGCUUUGACGGGUAGCCGGCCUGAGAGGGUGACCGGCCACAUUGGGACUGAGAUACGGCCCAGACUCCUACGGGAGGCAGCAGUGGGGAAUAUUGCACAAUGGGCGGAAGCCUGAUGCAGCAACGCCGCGUGCGGGAUGACGGCCUUCGGGUUGUAAACCGCUUUCGCCUGUGACGAAGCGUGAGUGACGGUAAUGGGUAAAGAAGCACCGGCUAACUACGUGCCAGCAGCCGCGGUGAUACGUAGGGUGCGAGCGUUGUCCGGAUUUAUUGGGCGUAAAGGGCUCGUAGGUGGUUGAUCGCGUCGGAAGUGUAAUCUUGGGGCUUAACCCUGAGCGUGCUUUCGAUACGGGUUGACUUGAGGAAGGUAGGGGAGAAUGGAAUUCCUGGUGGAGCGGUGGAAUGCGCAGAUAUCAGGAGGAACACCAGUGGCGAAGGCGGUUCUCUGGGCCUUUCCUGACGCUGAGGAGCGAAAGCGUGGGGAGCGAACAGGCUUAGAUACCCUGGUAGUCCACGCUGUAAACGGUGGGUACUAGGUGUGGGGUCCAUUCCACGGGUUCCGUGCCGUAGCUAACGCUUUAAGUACCCCGCCUGGGGAGUACGGCCGCAAGGCUAAAACUCAAAGGAAUUGACGGGGCCCCGCACAAGCGGCGGAGCAUGCGGAUUAAUUCGAUGCAACGCGUAGAACCUUACCUGGGUUUGACAUGGAUCGGGAGUGCUCAGAGAUGGGUGUGCCUCUUUUGGGGUCGGUUCACAGGUGGUGCAUGGCUGUCGUCAGCUCGUGUCGUGAGAUGUUGGGUUAAGUCCCGCAACGAGCGCAACCCUUGUUCACUGUUGCCAGCACGUUAUGGUGGGGACUCAGUGGAGACCGCCGGGGUCAACUCGGAGGAAGGUGGGGAUGACGUCAAGUCAUCAUGCCCCUUAUGUCCAGGGCUUCACGCAUGCUACAAUGGCUGGUACAGAGAGUGGCGAGCCUGUGAGGGUGAGCGAAUCUCGGAAAGACGGUCUCAGUUCGGACUGGGGUCUGCAACUCGACCUCAUGAAGUCGGAGUCGCUAGUAAUCGCAGAUCAGCAACGCUGCGAUGAAUACGUUCCCGGG